Molecule: microRNA, 22 nt
Filed under: Arabidopsis lyrata
Lineage: Eukaryota; Viridiplantae; Streptophyta; Magnoliopsida; Brassicales; Brassicaceae
Description: aly-miR399e-5p
Gene: aly-miR399e-5p
Source: miRBase by way of RNAcentral
GGGCGAAUCCUCUAUUGGCAGG